This is a non-coding RNA of Podarcis muralis (Common wall lizard), 3212 nucleotides long. NCBI's taxonomy places the organism in Eukaryota, Metazoa, Chordata, Lepidosauria, Squamata, Lacertidae. The record is from RefSeq and is a predicted model, not a curated record.
AAAGCAGGAUAUCAAAUCCAAACUCCUCCUCUUCUUCUUCUUCCUCAGUUCCCUAGGAAAUUAGUCAUAUAGAUGGUAGAGAUUUCAUCACCCCUCCCCCAAAAAGAGCUUUGCAUUAUCAUAGUGCAUAGUCAAAGGAAUGGAGACAACCUUCCCUUCCUCUGCUUGGGAUCCAUGUAAACAUACAAAGACCUCAAAACUUUUACCUUCUUGAGUGGAUGCUGUUUGUGGGGGAAGCUGGUAUCUUAAGAACAGUGGUAGCCCAUAUAUUGUCCUCUGGAAGUUGUUGGACUACAACUCCCAUCACUCCCCGCAACCUCGAUCACUGACUGUCCUGGCUGGGACAGAGGGACUGACGGGAAUUUGGGCCCAAGAACACCUGGAGGGCAACAUGUUGGUUAUCCUAGUUCUCACCGAUAAAUGUAACAUGCAUAGAAACAGAAGUGGGGCUACUGCAAGUUCCACCCAACCUGUCAAGCUGCUCCUUACCCCACCUUCUUACCCCACCUUUUCUUUGCCUAUUCAAAUGUCUUCCUACCAGCUCCACCCCAGCUUUGCUAAAGGAAGCCCCUCUUAUCAGCCAUGCACGGUCAGAAAAUGGAACUUCCAUGUCUAUAGGCAGUAGAUCCCUGGAGACCAGAUGUUGGCUGAGAUGGAUCUAAAAGAGUGACAGUGCGGAAGUUCACAAUUGUGGGGACUUGUAAUGGUGAGCCUAAGAGCACAAACCCUUCUGCACAAACCUUUCAUUGGGUCAUCACCAAAGGCCAAUUAAUGCAGGCCUGCCUUUUAUUGUUUGUUUAAUACUUUGUUUAGGAAUCACACUUUCUUUAGCAGAACCUAGGACCAUGUACAGCGCAGGGGAGAAAACAAAACCACACCAGUGAUUAAAAACAAAGUCACAGCAAAAAUAUUCAUAAAACUGAAAAGUGCCCAGUGCUGCCUGGGAAUUCUAAGAAACCAAAAAUAUUGUGGGUUUUUUUAAUGGAUAGUGUAAUUUGUGAGUUUUGAGGCUGUGUGCUCCCGUACACAUGCAUGCCGAUCCUCAGUGCAUCCGAUGGCAUCCAAAUGUAGGUAAAAAUCACCCCCUCCGUCUUGGGAACCUAUAUACCAAGUUGUUUGGCAAUAUCUCGAAAGGCACCCAAAUUAGCACAGUUGCAACCCAUCACAUCAAUGUGGGUGAAGUCAUGUCAAACAGGGUGAUGAUAUCUUCAGAGGUGUCCAGAUCAGCACACCUUUAUGCAGUGCCAACAAGCAUAUCAUUCCUCUCAUAGUGAAUUCAAGUGACUGAGCAUCUUAUCAGUUUAAAAGCAGAGUAGACAAAUUCAUGGAGACUAUUUAUUCAGUUAAUUUAUUUCCUUCCUCCAGGUGGUGCAGAUGGUUCACCUCCCCAUCUUAUCCUCAUAAUAACCCUGUAAAGUAAGUUAGGCUGAGAGACGAGUGAGCUCACCCAGUGAGCUUCAUAGCUGCGUGGAGAAUCAAACCCUGGUCUUUGAGGACUAUGUUCUACCUCCCGUGCUAGAGCAGUAGGCCUCUGAAUAAGAAUUGCUGGGAGUUGCAAGUGUGGAGAGUGUGGGUGCUGCUUGUGGGCUUCCCCUUGGUAUCUGGUUGGCCGCAGUGAAAACAGGUUUUUGGACUACUAGGCCUUUGGUCUGAUCCAGCUCAGCUUGGAAGUGAAAAUGGGGCCACCUCAAAAUAAAUUAGUAGUUUUAGCUUGGGAUUCCACAGACAUGGAAACAUACAUAACUCUAUAAUUACAUAGCAAAGUGGAGGAAGUUCUAGUGGUGUGCCCUAGAAGUGCUGCGACCCCCUUCCCUCAAAACCCUGUGCCCUUCCCUCAAAACCCCUUAAGAGCACUGCUCUCUUCUUAGGGGCUGGAGGUAUCCUGCAAUAUUCUUGGAGGUCCAGCUGCUUAUUCUGCUUAAACAAGAACGAAAAAGGUAAAACGUUAUAUACAUUUCUUUCAUGUACUUUAAAACUAUUUGCAGUCCAGGUUUGGCUGCUAAAAGCAAGGUGGAUUUAGCAACUGUGCUAUCACUCUGAAUUAAUUAGUUUACAGGUCACAUCUCAACAUCUGCAACGGUGAGAAUAUUCACACCCACGGUGGCAACAAAUAGGCCUAUUAAAAUUCUUUGUAAAUCCCUGUUCAGCAAAAACGGAAGGUGCGACGAAACUUUCUGUACCAAAAUUACUGGUGUGAUUCUGGUAAUGGGAAUGUCAUAUUCAAUUUAAGAAGCAUCAUAAAAGAAACAGAACAAAAGUAGAUAUUGAAGAUAGACAUUAGAAUUUCCAGAUAGAGAUUGCAUGGGGUUGACAGUGGCCUAAGAGAAAAAGAUGAACCUGGACCCUGUUAUUCUCUUGUGCCUUUAAAAGCCACUUGAGCAGCAGGUGAAGCAUCAAGGACCAGCAUGGGGGAGCAUACUGUCAAGAGAGUCCUGGAUCUCUUCCUCCCUUUCACAGUUGCAGCUGGAUUGGUCCUUUGCUUCUGGCUCUGGCCAAGAGAAGGUGAGCAAGCAAGGAACAUUGGCAGCGAGGAGGAGGGAGAGCAGCUGUCGCUGACUGAUUACUGAUUGGUUCUGUCCGGCAAGCAAUCAGGUGGCAGCAAUGAUGAGGCAGAGGAGGAGGAGCGAUGAGGGGUUUGCCCAAGGGACCCCAGAAUCAUAGUUUGAAGUGUUUCAUGGCAUGGAGAUAAUUAUGAUCACCAGCUAAUUCUUUGUCAUUUAAGCUACUCUUAAAUGCACAAGAGCAGGGUUCUGUAAAAAGAAUUGGCAGCUUAACCUUGGGGGGGGGGAAUAAAGGAAGUUAACUGAAAAUGGAAAUGUAUUUGCUUUCAUGUCUUUUGCAUUCUUCUACCCUGAUUUCUUUGCAGUUUUCUUUCACUGAUGUUUUCUGCUGCCUGGGUUUGACUCUUGUGUGCAUCCCUCCAGUUCGUUGACUAACGUCAAGGUCUCCCCACGUAGUGAGUGGUGGCCAUACCUACUACCGCUGCCCCCCUGGAAAUGACCCCUGUCUUCACCUUACACAAGAUGCUUCCUUCUGAUACAACACUGAUGAAAUCAGAUAUUAAGGACUCUCCAGACCUGGACAGCAGCGAUGUUGCGCCACCUAGUGGCUGAAAGGCAGAAUCUGAAGAGUGCACUUCUGUGCCCAGUUAUGUAUACCACAGUCCAUUUGUUGCAAUGGCAUUAAAACACAUUAAAGAACAGAUUUAUUAA